Molecule: long non-coding RNA, 372 nt
Organism: Trichomycterus rosablanca
Lineage: Eukaryota; Metazoa; Chordata; Actinopteri; Siluriformes; Trichomycteridae
Exons: 3
Source: RefSeq, a predicted model, not a curated record
UCAAUGGAGCAUCGGCCUGUUAACAACAUUUUAAACUUUUCCACCGCUGCCACAUCCAUGUCAGAAAUGUGGAUUUAAACCCGACAGCCCGACAGGAAUCUAAACGCGGCCGCGGAGGAAGAAAUGCGGUGAAGCUUUAUAUCCGAAUCAUCAGUGAUGCGAUCUCCAUAUCAGCCUCAACCUCAGAGAACAGAGGCUCCAGAGUCAGGGACAGUAUUGAACUUUUGAUGGCAUGAGGAAACAAACUGGUUUCACCAAAGUUGCACGAGGGCCAGAAACUAAAUGGCUUCAUGAUUCACAAUACAUUUACAUCAAAGGCAGUGUACAGUAGACCAUUACACAUUUACGAUUUAGAGGACAGUGGUGUAGAGG